Ictalurus punctatus (channel catfish) is the source of this 731-nucleotide long non-coding RNA. The record is from Ensembl. NCBI's taxonomy places the organism in Eukaryota, Metazoa, Chordata, Actinopteri, Siluriformes, Ictaluridae.
AAGAAAGAAAGAAAGAAAGAAAGAAAGAAAGAAAGAAAGAAUUGUGGAGUUGGGUAAGAGAAAGGAAGAAAGAAAGAAAGAAAGAAAGAAGAAAGAAAGAAUUGUGGAGUUUUUAACAGAAAGAACGAAAAAGAUGUUUUGCGAAAAGAAAGAAAGAAAGAAAGAAAGAAAGAAGAAAAGAAUUGUGGAGAUUUUAACAGAAAGAAAUAAAGAACGAAAAGAAGAAAGAAAGAAAGAAUUGUGGAGUUGGUGACAGAAAGAAAGAAAGAAAGAAAAAAAGAAAGAAAGAACUAAAGAGAAAGAAUUGUGGAGUUGGUAACAGAAAGAAAGAAAGAAAGAAAGAAAGAAAGAAAGAAAGAAAGAGAAAGAAUUAGGAAGAACUGUGGAGUUGGUAACAGAAAGAAAGUUUGCUGAUAACAAGCUGCUACUGCAGAGCAAGACACGCCCCUUGGGGCGGGACAUAUACCUUCCAGAGAGCAUUUAAUUGGAUGAAUUCACAACACAUCCUGAGUCACCAAGAGAUUUUAGUGAUUGUGAGAUUUUUGAAAUAAUCAGCCGGUGGAUUCCGGUGUCAAUGUUUCCGCAGGUUUACAGUUCUCCUGAAAACCAGCAGCUCACGUGUCUCGCGUGUAUCCCCGUGAACACUCCUGACGCUCCGCGAUAAUAAUAAAUAAUAACAACGACUCCGUCGGUAACGUUCGCGACAACACAAUCAGCAUGUGUAUCAACAG